Molecule: ribosomal RNA, 253 nt
Filed under: uncultured bacterium
Lineage: Bacteria
Description: partial 16S ribosomal RNA
Rfam family: Bacterial small subunit ribosomal RNA
Source: RNAcentral
GGUAGCCUACGGGAGGCAGCAGUAGGGAAUCUUCCACAAUGGGCGCAAGCCUGAUGGAGCAACACCGCGUGAGUGAAGAAGGGUUUCGGCUCGUAAAGCUCUGUUGUUGGAGAAGAACGUGCGUGGGAGUAACUGUUCACGCAGUGACGGUAUCCAACUAGAAAGUCACGGCUAACUACGUGCCAGCAGCCGCGGUAAUAAGGAGGUGGCAAGCGUUGUCCGGAUUUAUUGGGCGUGAAGCGGGUGCAGGCGG